RNAcentral lists this ribosomal RNA (500 nucleotides) under uncultured bacterium. Its description in RNAcentral is "partial 16S ribosomal RNA". It matches the Rfam family "Bacterial small subunit ribosomal RNA", at positions 30 to 523 of the family's 1533-position model. The record is from RNAcentral.
AUUGAACGCUGGCGGCAGGCCUAACACAUGCAAGUCGAGCGGAUGAGGAGAGCUUGCUCUCUGAUUUAGCGGCGGACGGGUGAGUAAUGCCUAGGAAUCUGCCUGGUAGUGGGGGAUAACGUCCGGAAACGGGCGCUAAUACCGCAUACGUCCUACGGGAGAAAGCAGGGGACCUUCGGGCCUUGCGCUAUCAGAUGAGCCUAGGUCGGAUUAGCUAGUUGGUGAGGUAAUGGCUCACCAAGGCGACGAUCCGUAACUGGUCUGAGAGGAUGAUCAGUCACACUGGAACUGAGACACGGUCCAGACUCCUACGGGAGGCAGCAGUGGGGAAUAUUGGACAAUGGGCGAAAGCCUGAUCCAGCCAUGCCGCGUGUGUGAAGAAGGUCUUCGGAUUGUAAAGCACUUUAAGUUGGGAGGAAGGGCAGUAAGUUAAUACCUUGCUGUUUUGACGUUACCAACAGAAUAAGCACCGGCUAACUUCGUGCCAGCAGCCGCAGUAA